AUUCCUCCAGCUGAGAUCCUUAGAUGAGCCACAUUGGAGCUCUACACUGCUGAACAUAGUUCUUGUGAGCAUCUGUCUGGCGCCUGGGCUUGGGAGUUAAGUCUGUUAUAGAGAACAUCUAGCCACUAUACCAAGAAGGGCCUCCAUGUUUACUGCUGACCAUGAGCUCACCCACAGACACCUGUGAGAUUUCCUGGCCAACAUAUCAGUUCUCCCUCCGGACACAGGCAGGGAAGUCCUGGUGGCCUUGGCAACAGCAUCACUUUGGAGCUCAGACGGAAAAUGGCAAGAGGAACUCUAAGAAAUGACUGCUGCUUCUUGGCUUCGCUUUUGUGCCUAGCAUCCUGAGCCAGUUAGAUCAUCUACUUCCUACCCCAGGACGCAGAGCACUGCUCUGACACUCUGGAAAGCCCUGUGGAAUGUAGAAGGGUAAUAACGACACGCACCUACACAGCGCAUGGAGGCUGCGGAGGACCUGUCAUUGCAAGGUUUUUCUCAUUCCCCACACUGCUCCCUGAGGACAGGGAGUUUCAUCACAGACUAUGAUGGCUCUCUGAGGCACUGUGAAGAAUAGUCUAUUCCCUCUGCCUGAAACAUGCACCACCUAUUCCUACUCUAGUGGAUGGAGGUAAGUAUAGAUUUUGUUUAUUCAACACGUUUUCUUAUCCCCAGUUUUAUGGUAACAGUGUUCUUCCUUUUUUUCCCCUUCGGGGAACAUCCUCCCCCAGAUUAAUCUUCAACUGUCCAGCAUGAUUCUCCUCCAUACCCUGGCAACAGAGGAGAGAUGUGUGACUAAGAUUUGGCCAAUCAUGGGACCCGAUUCCUGUGAUCAUCAUGAUUGGUCCAAGGCUGAAUGUGUGACUGAUCCAAGGAUUACAAUUGUUUCCUCUUCAAGCAAUGAUGCAAUGAAUAUUCUGUGCUGGGACUGAUAUUUGCUUUCAUUUGUUCAAUCAUUCCCAUGGGAUAGUUGCUGAGUCAUAUGUAGGUACAAAACUUAUAUAUGCUCAUUGGAGAAGAGGAAGAAGAAGGAGGAGGAGGAAGAGGAAGAAGAUGAGGAUGAUGAAAGAGGGAAGGAAGGAAGGAAGGAAGGAAGGAAGAAAGAAAGGAAGGAAGAAAAAGAAAGGAAGGAUGAAAGAGAAGGAAAGAAGGAAAAGAAAUUCUAGCUUUGAGAAUCUUGGAUGGCUCAUCCAGAUACUGCCAAUCCCUGGGCUGGUCAGUGGCCUUUGACCUGUGUAGCCUGGCUCAGAAAAAUGAAUGAGAUCAGUCACAUUCUCCCUCUCAGGAAUGUGGCCUCUAAAACUCAGAGGGAAGUAGGACUUGUGAAGAAACUGGUCCCAUUUGGACUGUAUGGUGCUGUCCAGACCCUUGUCUAGGAUGGCAGCACCUAUGGUCCCCAGCUGCAGCCUUCAUGUCGCACAUGAGGACAACUCUGAGACCAACACAAUUCCAAAGCUCCUCGCAGGGCUGGCUGAAGACUUUGUUGAGGCUGCUCUGCUGCUCAAUUUCUCCCCCUACCCACUCCUCCUUCUCCCUUCGCCCCCACACUCCCAUGGACAUUAGCCCCAGGGCCCACCAUGAUAAGCUUUCUGCUCACUAAUCUUCACCUCAGAGUCUGUUUCUAGGGGGACCAACCUGCCACAGGGUAGGAAGAAAGGAUGAUGCGUGGAAUCAUGUGUGUCUGGCACAGGCCCCUGACUCCCUAGACAUUCCCGCCUCUGCACUUUUGCCUAUACUGACCCUGGCUGCUGAGGCCGGGCUCACAUAGCUGGUCUUCUACAAAGUCAUUUGAGAACACCCAAGUCAAAAGCAUUUUGUUUGUAUGCUGAUGAUAACAUUUGCUAUUAGCUGCCUUGUGUUAAGGGUCAACUAGGUUAACUAGCUACAAUGCUUCUUUAGUUUAAAAAAAAAAAAAAAAGGCACCUGGGAGGCUCAGUGGUUGAGCAUCUGCCUUCAGCUCAGGUCAUGAUCCUAGGGUCCUGAGAUCGAGUUCCGUAUCAGGCUCCCUGCGAGGAGCCUGAUUCUCCCUCUGCCUAUGUCUCUGCCUCUCUC
Long non-coding RNA from Nyctereutes procyonoides (raccoon dog), 2049 nucleotides. RefSeq lists it as uncharacterized. The transcript is spliced from 5 exons. Lineage: Eukaryota; Metazoa; Chordata; Mammalia; Carnivora; Canidae. The record is from RefSeq and is a predicted model, not a curated record.